Molecule: ribosomal RNA, 462 nt
Filed under: Triticum aestivum (bread wheat)
Lineage: Eukaryota; Viridiplantae; Streptophyta; Magnoliopsida; Poales; Poaceae
Description: partial small subunit ribosomal RNA
Source: RNAcentral
AUGACGAGAGUGAAGAAUAUUUACUAUGUACUUCCCGGAGAACCUGAACCGAAGCGCACCGUGUCAAACACUCACAGGAUUGGGAAGGUAAUGUUCCUAACAGCUGUUGCCAGGCCUCGAUAUAACAAUGAGGGGGAGCUAACAUUCGAUGGGAAGAUCGGAAUUUGGGCAUUCGUCGAAGAGACUGAGGCGAAGCAGACAAGUCAGAACAGAACAAAGGGAACAAAAGUGUUGACAUCAGUGAAAGUAACCAGGCCUAUGUGCAGAGAUUAUCUAAUCAAUAAGGUUAUCCCGGCAAUUCAGGAUAAGUGGCCUGACGAUGAUGAGGGAGCAGCAAUAUUCAUCCAACAGGAUAACGCAAAGCCUCAUGUGCUUCCCAAUGAUGUAGCUUUUCGAGAAGCUGUGGAACAAACUGAUCUUGACAUCCGAUUGCUACAACAGCCCCCAAAUAGCCCUGAGUAA